Molecule: long non-coding RNA, 2998 nt
Organism: Oxyura jamaicensis (ruddy duck)
Lineage: Eukaryota; Metazoa; Chordata; Aves; Anseriformes; Anatidae
Exons: 3
Source: RefSeq, a predicted model, not a curated record
CCAGGCAUUUUCCCUGGCAGCAAAAUCCCUCUCUUAGCUCUGCAGACAACGUACAACAUACAAGAUGGUCCUCCAUUGUUUUUACAAACUGGGUCACGAUGACAUAAAUGUUUGGAAAAAGUGAAGUAUGCUGUGAGGCAUUGGUGCCACUGAGAGCACUCAGAUUUGUAACUGGGGGAUGAUGAAACCACGUGCAAACACCACUCUGCUUGCCCUCAGCUCCUCUGAACUCAAGUUUCACCCUUCACAUGGUGAAGUAUCAAUAUCUCAUCUGUAAUAAGAAGCUCCUGAAAUGGGUUCAGCUCUGCGUGCCCGUUCAACAAUGGGAGUGCUCAGGCACAGGCUGCCUAUUUGUCACCUGGCUACCCUUGCACAUUGCUAUACCUCUUGAUAUAGAUGAAACAGAGCUGCUGUUUGUUCCCUUUUAAAAGAACAUUUCCUUCUUUGAAUCAGUAAAUGAUCCUUGGCACAGUUAAAGGAAAAAGAUUACAAAGAAAAUGAGUCCUCUCCAUGACCUGAAAAGAGCCACAUUCCUCUGCACCAGCUCCUCUCAUUGCCUAGAAUAGCACCGUGUGUGUGUGAAAGAGACCUGAGUGAAGAGCGUGGCACUAGUGAACCCACCCAUCACCUUUCUAACAUUUAUAGAUUUAUUUUCUAGAUAAUUUAGAGUCUAAACUAUGUCUCAGAUACUCUCAGCCAUGUGUUCAAAUCCAUUCGCUUAUGGUUCAAGUAUGCAUUACUGAGAUUUUUGCAUGCUGAUAUGUUUUUUUUUAGGGGUUAAAAUGAUUCAUUUCCCAUCACUUAUUUAUCAUUUCCCAUCAUAUUUCUAGAUGUAGCACAAGCCUCCUUGGUUCUGCUGAAUUCAAUGGAGCUGUAGAUUUACAUCACAUAUGCCUCUGGCUCAUUUCUUUACAAGAACAGCCUUCUUUGAAUUGUAUAAUUGCUAAAAGUUCAGACGAUUGAAAUUUUUGGAGCUCAUAACAACUCUUGACUGAUACCCACAUUUCAUGGAACAGGAAUCAGAAGCAAUGUUUUGGUCUAGUGUUCUUAUUUCCUACAUGUUGUAAGACAUGGGGGUAAAUUACAAAGCUCCUAUUUAUUGCAGUGAUACUAUUGACCCCAUGCUCUUAUGUGGUGCUGUCCAAGUGUGACUUGGCCUCCUGCUAAAGGGAGCCACUAUUCCCAGCACUCCACAUUGGCCUGCCUGGGUUUCCAAUGCAGCAGUUUCCCCUGUAUCCCAUGAUCUGAAAGACGUAUCCCUGCACCUCAUUCUACAAAAUCCAAGCCUGAAUAUUUUUGCCUACAAAUGCCCUGCUCCCAAGUCUAGGGCAACCAUCCAAGAUUUGUGUUUGCGUGAACUUCUGGGGACGAAAGAGAGCUUGGAAUGAGGAGAUGCAACUUUCAUAUUAUUAUAAAAAACAUUCAAAAUCUGAAGACACAAGAAUGGUAAAGUGAAACCUGCUCAUCCUCUCCCAUUUGUGGCUGACAACCUGGCCUUAUCUGGACAAUGUUUGAAGGCCAUUUCUUCACAAAAUGAAAAAAAUCUUAAAAGUUGUGAGUUGUAUUUUUCUGAGACUGACUGAAGAGAAAAGGGUCAAAUUGAUCCCUGGUGAGACUCUGUGGAUCUCAAGGAAAUGAAUGUAAGGAAGUUAUCCUAAGGAUGAAUUAUUCUAAAAUUCCAAAGGAAAUGCUGCUUUAAUGAGAAAAAAAGUUCAAAGAUGCAGAAAUAUAUCAGCGAAUUCAUAGCAGAUUGUCCAGAAUCAGGCCAAGUUACAACAAUCAAAAUAUAUAACUGAAUUCAGACACAAAACUUAAAAUAAAGGAGGGACCAGAACUAUGGUAGGGUAAAGAAUAAAGAGCAUAGAGUCUAUUGCUGUCUCUCUGGAGUCAGCUUUUUAGUAAUCCACUUUUUAAAAUAUAUUAAAUAUGCUGGCAAACAUCCAUGCACUUUACGUAUAUCAUCCACAGAAGUCUACCAGUCUAUUAUUCUCAACAGGCAUUGAAAAGCAGUAAAUGCCCUCCUUGUUGUCUUCUGAAACUCUUCCAGGUCCGAGCUAGCACUUACACGGAAGGUUAUACGACAUUUGAGGAACCAAACAUUUCCAAAACAAACCCAAUGCUCCGAGAAAAAGGUACAGACUGCAGAUGCAUUAUCAGCUGUAACAAUGCUAAGAGGACUCUGAAAGGAGAACAAGGUGAUAUUCAAUUGAUGAAUUAAUAUUGUCAUUUUAGUACAGGCAUAAAAAUGCAUCUGACCACAGGUCGGAUACACCACUGUCUGGUGCUGUGUGUAAUUACACCAGCAAUUAUCUAGUGUAGUCCAAAUGCAGACCCACCAAUUGCUGCAAACUUCCAUACGGCAUUAAUUUAUCAUAUCUUGCUAAAACAUUUUAUUCUUUUUGAUAAUGAACACCAACAGUAAAGACAGCAGCGUCAAAGUGCACUGUCAGUCCUUUUACCCUAAUAGCUCAUGCAGACACUGUAGGCUUCCUGUCAACUUUCAGAGCUCUUAAAUAUAGAAAAAAGGCAGAGCCACUCAAGAGAGUCAACCUCUAUUCACUGGGAAGGAACUAGCAGCACAUUAUAAUAGAUGCUCAUCUUUGUGCAAAAAAAUAGAAAAAAAAAUAAAAAAAAUCACGCUUGGAACUGAAAAGUUGACUAUUUAGAUAUUCUGCACAUCACAACCAUUGGGCUUUCCUCUGAGUGCAUAUUUAUACGGCAGGUGGCAUUGUUAGGGAAGGAAGCACAGCACAAAUGUUGAGUGACUCACUUUCCUAAAUCUGAAGUUGAAAACCCUUUGAUCAGACAUUUCAUGCUUCACCAUUCAUUUCUGAGAACAAAGUAAGAACUACUUGUAGCAACGUGAGCAAGCAAGGCUUUCACGGAGUUUUAAUGAAUUAAGGUGUUUUGCUGAACAGCUUUGUAUCUAGUUCUUGGCUACAGUGUAAGAUAUUAAUGGCAGUGACAGCUUAGUAUACGGUUUCCCAGAUUCUGAACA